CAAGCCCUGCCCGAGCUGAAGGAUUUCCCGGCUUGCUCAGAGUGGGGCAAAGAGGCGGUUGGAAGCGCACGGCUCGCGCUUGGCGCUUUCUCUCGGCCGCCUCCGCCGCUCGGAAACCUUUGCGUUCUCUGCGCCGCUCGCAGGAUGACGGCAACUCUAAAGGCAAGCGGAGUGUCCUGUGUGCCACAUGGAGCUUGGGGAAAGGAAAUGAUUAAAGCCGUGAGGUUUCCUGGCUCUUCGCGGUGUUUACGCACUGGAGACAUGUCAGGCUUCCAGCCCUGGAAGAGGCCUUGGAAGAAAGAAUGGCACGGGGUCCCAAGAGAGCACUGAUAGCUGCAGUGGGAAGAUGCAUUAGACUGGGAACUGUGGAGCUGAUGCUGAAGCAGAAGGCGCUUAUUUAAGCUAUAAAUGGAAGACAGGACCAAGGGGCCUGAAACAUCUCCGGCUCCCCGGGCCAGACUGCUGGUGAAGUGAUGGCCGUGGCCUUCCACCCUCCCUUGCUGCACUCCUGGGCCUCAGGCAAGCGGGGUUGUUUUGGAAUGCAGCAGUCUUACUGAAGCGAUUCUGAAUGUGAAACAAGCAAGAAAAUCACCUAAAGAAAGAAGUAGAAAGAACAAUCAAUAAUGUACACCCAGCAAGGAACAUGAUCACCAGCCUCAUGUCAAGCCACUUAUAGAAAAGAUACUUAUUCCUAGAUGAAACACCAAUCUGUUUUCAAUAAAUGAUUAUCAAUAAUUCCUC
Octodon degus (degu) is the source of this 741-nucleotide long non-coding RNA. RefSeq lists it as uncharacterized. The record is from RefSeq and is a predicted model, not a curated record. NCBI's taxonomy places the organism in Eukaryota, Metazoa, Chordata, Mammalia, Rodentia, Octodontidae. The transcript is spliced from 4 exons.